RNAcentral lists this ribosomal RNA (923 nucleotides) under uncultured bacterium. RNAcentral's name for it is "bacterial SSU rRNA". It matches the Rfam family "Bacterial small subunit ribosomal RNA", at positions 1 to 919 of the family's 1533-position model. The record is from RNAcentral.
UUAGAGUUUGAUCCUGGCUCAGGAUGAACGCUAGCUACAGGCUUAACACAUGCAAGUCGAGGGGAAACGACAUCGAAAGCUUGCUUUUGAUGGGCGUCGACCGGCGCACGGGUGAGUAACGCGUAUCCAACCUGCCCAUCACUUGGGGAUAACCUUGCGAAAGUAAGACUAAUACCCAAUGAUAUCCCACGAAGGCAUCCGAAUGGGAUUAAAGAUUUAUCGGUGAUGGAUGGGGAUGCGUCUGAUUAGCUUGUUGGCGGGGUAACGGCCCACCAAGGCGACGAUCAGUAGGGGUUCUGAGAGGAAGGUCCCCCACAUUGGAACUGAGACACGGUCCAAACUCCUACGGGAGGCAGCAGUGAGGAAUAUUGGUCAAUGGGCGAGAGCCUGAACCAGCCAAGUAGCGUGCAGGAUGACGGCCCUAUGGGUUGUAAACUGCUUUUAUAAGGGAAUAAAGUGAGUCUCGUGAGGCUUUUUGCAUGUACCUUAUGAAUAAGGACCGGCUAAUUCCGUGCCAGCAGCCGCGGUAAUACGGAAGGUCCGGGCGUUAUCCGGAUUUAUUGGGUUUAAAGGGAGCGUAGGCCGGAGAUUAAGCGUGUUGUGAAAUGUAGUGGCUCAACCUCUGCACUGCAGCGCGAACUGGUCUUCUUGAGUACGCACAACGUGGGCGGAAUUCGUGGUGUAGCGGUGAAAUGCUUAGAUAUCACGAAGAACUCCGAUUGCGAAGGCAGCUCACGGGAGCGCAACUGACGCUGAAGCUCGAAAGUGCGGGUAUCGAACAGGAUUAGAUACCCUGGUAGUCCGCACGGUAAACGAUGGAUGCCCGCUGUUGGCCUGAAUAGGUCAGCGGCCAAGCGAAAGCAUUAAGCAUCCCACCUGGGGAGUACGCCGGCAACGGUGAAACUCAAAUGAAUUGACGGAAG